GACGAACGCUGGCGGCGUGCUUAACACAUGCAAGUCGAACGGUGAAGCGCCUUCCUUUUUGGUGGGUGUGGAUGAGUGGCGAACGGGUGAGUAACACGUGAGUAACCUGCCCCCUUCUUCUGGAUAACCGCAUGAAAGUGUGGCUAAUACGGGAUAUUCUGGGUCUGUCGCAUGAUGGGUCUGGGAAAGAUAUUGUUUCGGUGGGGGAUGGGCUCGCGGCCUAUCAGCUUGUUGGUGGGGUGAUGGCCUACCAAGGCGGUGACGGGUAGCCGGCCUGAGAGGGUGGGCCGGCACACCGGGACUGAGACACGGCCCAGACUCCGACGGGAGGCAGCGGUGGGGAAUAUUGCACAAUGGGCGCAAGCCUGAAGCAGCGACGCCGCGUGAGGGAUGGAGGCCUUCGGGUUGUGAACCUCUUUCGCCAGUGAAGCAGGCCUGCCUCGUUUGUGGGUGGGUUGACGGUAGCUGGAUAAGAAGCGCCGGCUAACUACGUG
Molecule: ribosomal RNA, 494 nt
Filed under: uncultured bacterium
Lineage: Bacteria
Description: partial 16S ribosomal RNA
Rfam family: Bacterial small subunit ribosomal RNA
Source: RNAcentral